UGGGGAAUAUUGCGCAAUGGGGGGAACCCUGACGCAGCAACGCCGCGUGAAGGAUGAAGGUCUUCGGAUUGUAAACUUCUUUGAUGAGGGACGAAGAAAUGACGGUACCUCAAAAACAAGCCACGGCUAACUACGUGCCAGCAGCCGCGGUAAUACGUAGGUGGCAAGCGUUGUCCGGAAUUACUGGGUGUAAAGGGCGCGUAGACGGGGAUGUAAGUCAGAUGUGAAAUUCCGAAGCUCAACUUCGGCGCUGCAUCUGAAACUGUGUCUCUUGAGUGCUGGAGAGGAUAGUGGAAUUCCUAGUGUAGCGGUGAAAUGCGUAGAUAUUAGGAGGAACACCAGUGGCGAAGGCGACUAUCUGGACAGUAACUGACGUUGAGGCGCGAAAGCGUGGGGAGCGAACAGG
Molecule: ribosomal RNA, 406 nt
Filed under: uncultured bacterium
Lineage: Bacteria
Description: bacterial SSU rRNA
Rfam family: Bacterial small subunit ribosomal RNA
Source: RNAcentral